GAUGAACGCUGGCGGCGUGCCUAAUACAUGCAAGUCGAGCGAACAGAUGAGGAGCUUGCUCCUCUGACGUUAGCGGCGGACGGGUGAGUAACACGUGGAUAACCUACCUAUAAGACUGGGAUAACUUCGGGAAACCGGAGCUAAUACCGGAUAAUAUAUUGAACCGCAUGGUUCAAUAGUGAAAGACGGUUUUGCUGUCACUUAUAGAUGGAUCCGCGCCGCAUUAGCUAGUUGGUAAGGUAACGGCUUACCAAGGCAACGAUGCGUAGCCGACCUGAGAGGGUGAUCGGCCACACUGGAUCUGAGACACGGUCCCGACUCCUACGGGAGGCAGCAGUAGGGAAUCUUCCGCAAAGGGCGAAAGCCUGACGGAGCAACGCCGCGUGAGUGAUGAAGGUCUUCGGAUCGUAAAACUCUGUUAUUAGGGAAGAACAAAUGUGUAAGUAACUAUGCACGUCUUGACGGUACCUGAUCAGAAAGCCACGGCUAACUACGUG
RNAcentral lists this ribosomal RNA (497 nucleotides) under uncultured bacterium. Its description in RNAcentral is "partial 16S ribosomal RNA". It matches the Rfam family "Bacterial small subunit ribosomal RNA", at positions 28 to 507 of the family's 1533-position model. The record is from RNAcentral.